GCAUAUCAAUAAGCGGAGGAAAAGAAACUAACAAGGAUUCCCCUAGUAACGGCGAGUGAAGAGGGAAGAGCCCAAGAUUGAAAGCUGGCGUCUUCGGCGUCCGCAUUGUAAUCUCAAGAAGUGUUUUCCGCUUCGGACCAUGCCUAAGUCCCUUGGAAAAGGGCAUCAUAGAGGGUGAUAAUCCCGUACAUGGCAUGGAGCGCCCGAAGCUUUGUGAUACGCUUUCUAAGAGUCGAGUUGUUUGGGAAUGCAGCUCAAAAUGGGUGGUAAAUGCCAUCUAAGGCUAAAUAUUGGGGAGAGACCGAUAGCGAACAAGUACAGUGAUGGAAAGAUGAAAAGAACUUUGAAAAGAGAGUUAAACAGUACGUGAAAUUGCCAAAAGGGAAGGGUAGGAGGUCAGAGAUGCGGCCUAGGAUUCAGCCUUGCUUUUGCUUGGUGUUUUUCCUAGGUUGCAGGCCAACGUCGGUUUUGGGCACUGGAGAAGGGUGGAAGGAAUGUGGCACCUCUCGGGGUGUGUUAUAGCCUUCUACUGGAUACAGCGACCGAGACCGAGGACAGCAGCGUACUCGCAAGAGCGGGCCUUCGGGCACCUUUACGCUUAGGGCGUUGGCAUAAUGGCCCUCUACCACCCGUCUUGAAACACGGACCAAGGAGUCUAACAUGUAUGCGAGUCUUUGGGUGGCAAACCCAUAGGCGCAAUGAAAGUGAAUUCAGGUGGGAUCCGCAAGGUGCACCAUCGACCGAUCCUCACGUCUUUUUAAGUCGUGGAUUUGAGUAAGAGCAUACCUGUUGGGACCCGAAAGAUGGUGAACUAUGCCUGAAUAGGGUGAAGCCAGAGGAAACUCUGGUGGAGGCUCGUAGCGGUUCUGACGUGCAAAUCGAUCGUCAAAUUUGGGUAUAGGGGCGAAAGACUAAUCGAACCAUCUAGUAGCUGGUCCUGCG
This 942-nucleotide ribosomal RNA is filed under the name Ustilago filiformis. RNAcentral's name for it is "LSU rRNA". It matches the Rfam family "Eukaryotic large subunit ribosomal RNA", at positions 38 to 962 of the family's 3401-position model. The record is from RNAcentral. Lineage: Eukaryota; Fungi; Basidiomycota; Ustilaginomycetes; Ustilaginales; Ustilaginaceae.